Molecule: ribosomal RNA, 1131 nt
Filed under: human gut metagenome
Description: bacterial SSU rRNA
Rfam family: Bacterial small subunit ribosomal RNA
Source: RNAcentral
AAGCCUGAACCAGCCAAGUCGCGUGAGGGAUGAAGGUUCUAUGGAUCGUAAACCUCUUUUAUAAGGGAAUAAAGUGCGGGACGUGUCCCGUUUUGUAUGUACCUUAUGAAUAAGGAUCGGCUAACUCCGUGCCAGCAGCCGCGGUAAUACGGAGGAUCCGAGCGUUAUCCGGAUUUAUUGGGUUUAAAGGGUGCGUAGGCGGCCUUUUAAGUCAGCGGUGAAAGUCUGUGGCUCAACCAUAGAAUUGCCGUUGAAACUGGGAGGCUUGAGUAUGUUUGAGGCAGGUGGAAUGCGUGGUGUAGCGGUGAAAUGCAUAGAUAUCACGCAGAACCCCGAUUGCGAAGGCAGCCUGCCAAGCCAUUACUGACGCUGAUGCACGAAAGCGUGGGGAUCAAACAGGAUUAGAUACCCUGGUAGUCCACGCAGUAAACGAUGAUCACUAGCUGUUUGCGAUACACUGUAAGCGGCACAGCGAAAGCGUUAAGUGAUCCACCUGGGGAGUACGCCGGCAACGGUGAAACUCAAAGGAAUUGACGGGGGCCCGCACAAGCGGAGGAACAUGUGGUUUAAUUCGAUGAUACGCGAGGAACCUUACCCGGGUUUGAACGCAUUUUGACAGCUCUGGAAACAGAGCCUCUAGCAAUAGCGAUUUGCGAGGUGCUGCAUGGUUGUCGUCAGCUCGUGCCGUGAGGUGUCGGCUUAAGUGCCAUAACGAGCGCAACCCUUGCCACUAGUUACUAACAGGUAAAGCUGAGGACUCUGGUGGGACUGCCAGCGUAAGCUGCGAGGAAGGCGGGGAUGACGUCAAAUCAGCACGGCCCUUACAUCCGGGGCGACACACGUGUUACAAUGGCGUGGACAAAGGGAGGCCACCUGGCGACAGGGAGCGAAUCCCCAAACCACGUCUCAGUUCGGAUCGGAGUCUGCAACCCGACUCCGUGAAGCUGGAUUCGCUAGUAAUCGCGCAUCAGCCAUGGCGCGGUGAAUACGUUCCCGGGCCUUGUACACACCGCCCGUCAAGCCAUGGGAGCCGGGGGUACCUGAAGUCCGUAACCGAAAGGAUCGGCCUAGGGUAAAACUGGUGACUGGGGCUAAGUCGUAACAAGGUAGCCGUACCGGAAGGUGCGGCUG